Herpailurus yagouaroundi (jaguarundi) is the source of this 2167-nucleotide non-coding RNA. Lineage: Eukaryota; Metazoa; Chordata; Mammalia; Carnivora; Felidae. The record is from the annotation of a RefSeq genome assembly.
UAAAGUGAUUUAUUUCUAUCUUACGUGAAAUAACAUAGUGUGAGCAUACACGAUUCUUACAUCUUUUUUCAUGAUUCUUAUAUCUUAUGCUGUUUCCAUAAUACAUUACAUGUAGUAUUUUUAAAAAUAUAGAAUACUUCAUGAAUUUUCACAUCAUUCUUGCACACAGGCCAUGCUAAUUUUCUCUGUAUUAUUCUAAUUUUAGUAUAUGUGUUCCGAAAGUGACCCUUAGUUGUCAUAUUUUUAAGUAAGUGCCUCCCACCCACUUUCAUCACAGAUGCAAUGAAUGAACAUAUUGUAGUUAAACCACCAAUCCUCAUUUCAAUAUAAAAUUUUACUCAUUCAUUUUCAGAUGUGACUUUACACAUUAGAGUCACUGAAUGCAAAAAGAAGUCUGGAUAAUGAGACUCUCAGCUGGUACAGAGAGAAGUGUGACAUGACCCACACAACUUGCUACAGGAAACCUCUAUUUCCUGUUCUGGGGCAACAGCAGCACAUACUCAGCCAUCCUUCCUUCACCCUGGCAGGCUCCCCUCACGGUGCCGAGCUCUGAAAUUGAAGAAGACAUUUCCCAUCUAGUGGAAAAACUCAAACAUGUUUCUGUCCAGCCUUCUGAAGGUGGUAAUGGCUUCAAUGUGGCUGGGAUCCAGUAUUUCCCAAAAGGUAACUCAAGCCCCACCAGCGAUGUUAGUACAGGAGAAGGAGGCUGUCAUCCUGGAAUGCACAUAUGACACCAGCGAUCCAAAUUAUAGUCUAUUGUGGUACAAGCAGCCCAGCCGCGGGGAGAUGAUUUUCCUUGUUCGUCAAGAUUCUCACAACCAACAAAAUGCCACAGAAGGUCGCUACUCAUUGAAUUUCCAGAAGGCAAGAAAAUCCAUCCAUCUUGUCAUCUCAGCUUCACAGCUGGAGGACUCUGCAGUGUAUUUCUGUGCACUCAGGAGCCCACAGUGAGAGGCAAGCUGGAGGGAGGUGUACCCAAACCCCAGAGCUCUUGUUGAUACAUCCACCUGUUGUAGGGAUCAAGGCAGGGAAUUCCAUCCUACACAGGAAGUGGCUAAGGCUGGGGCAGCUCAGAUGGAGGGUUAGAGGGAAAACCUGACUCUAAGAAAAUACCUCUCUAGAUAAGAAUUAUCAUUCAUCAAAAACAUCCUUACCCCUGAAAAUUUGUGUUGAAAGGGUUUAUUGAAAACUAGAAAAGCCACGAUAAACAAUUUGCCAUUUUGCAAUUAGAUUCAGCUGUGAGAAUUGGCUAAGUAAAUUCGGAAACAUUUGACUCAAAAAUCAGUAAAAAUGUGUGUGAAUUGUUGGAUUUUCAGGUGAAUUUUAUUCAGUAAGUAUAUCUCGAAUAUAUAUUAUGUUACAGCCAUUAUUUAGAAUAUGGAAGGCCAUGGAAUGUUUCUGUGGUUUUCCUUUUUUUGUUUUAUGUCACGCUGGUUUAUUCUGCUUAAUGACGUGGUUUAAUUAGGUUUGUUUACUGUGAGUCAACUGUACUUACAUGUAUUUUCCAAGGUGCCUACUCUGUGACAUAUGUCUGUACUAUUGCUCGUCCCAUGUUAUUAACACGCCUAGCAUUUAUGUCCUCGAUUUGCAUUCUGGAGGUUUACCUGCUUCCCAACACUGUUAUCUGCAAAUGAUCAUGAUUAGUGGCUCUUAGGGGGGACCCUGUGAAGUAGCAGGGUGUGAAUUAUCCUCUUUGUCUGUUCCCACCCUUUACUUCAAAACUUUUUCAAAGGCAUUUUUCCCAGCACGUGGCUCAGGUUGCACACUUCUGAGCCCUCUUUGUUUGAUCAAUGUUCCACAGUCCAACACCACUCCUUCUCUCCAUUUUCCUCCUUCCACCUCUAACCUCAUUUCCCCAGUGCCUUCACAUUCGAAUGGUAAUGGAUGGUUGAUAACUGGUCUUGCAUUGUAACACUCUUAUAUUUGCGUGGAAAGCAGAUGGGUAGGGUAGAAAUCCUAACAAGAAUCUCUUUAAAAAAUUUUAAUUAUAAAAUUUUACCAUUGUAACAUACAUUUUUACCAGUUUAACAAUUUUUAAGUGUACAAUUCAGUGGUAUGAAAUACAUUUACAUUGUUGUUCAACAAGCACCACUGUCCAUUUCCAGAAAUCUUUUCAUCUUGAAAAACUGAAUAUUUGUACUCAUUAAACAAUAGCUCCAUCCCUACA